GGAACGACCUGGGAAGUGGAAGGAUCUGAAAAUGUUGUGCAUGAAGUGGCCCGUUGGCUGUCCAAUGAAGUGUCUGUUAUCAGAAGGAAAUGUGUACUUUUUGAGGAGUGUGGAGAUGAAUAAGGCCCAGUUCCGACAUCUGGGAUUUUGACUCUCCAGGCAAGAGGACAGGAAAAAGAUGUUUGGCUUCUAUGAACUAAUUCACUGUCCAGAGCAUCUUGGCAUCUGGCUGCUGCUGAGGAAAGAGGAGGAUGUUUGUGUGUGUGUGUGUGCACAUGCGCCCGUGUGUGCGUAUCUGAGGGAAGCUAAAUAUUACAUUUCAGGGCUUAGUCCUUCCAUACUUUGAAUUUAAUAUGUAAUUAUGAAUAAACAUGGAAACGUAAAAACAAAACCAC
This 395-nucleotide long non-coding RNA is filed under the name Homo sapiens (human). RNAcentral describes it as "HSALNT0307248". Lineage: Eukaryota; Metazoa; Chordata; Mammalia; Primates; Hominidae. The record is from RNAcentral.